RNAcentral lists this non-coding RNA (116 nucleotides) under Pseudobacteriovorax antillogorgiicola. Lineage: Bacteria; Pseudomonadati; Bdellovibrionota; Oligoflexia; Oligoflexales; Pseudobacteriovoracaceae. The record is from RNAcentral.
GAUAUCACACGACUUGAAAUUUUAUAAACGAUGGUGAAACAGGUGGGAAUCCUGUGCUGUCCCGCAACUGUAAGUUCUAACGAGCAAGCCAGAUCCCAUCUCUAUAAGCGUACGAC